This is a small nuclear RNA of Grammomys surdaster, 107 nucleotides long. The record is from RefSeq and is a predicted model, not a curated record. NCBI's taxonomy places the organism in Eukaryota, Metazoa, Chordata, Mammalia, Rodentia, Muridae.
GUGCUCACUUUGGCAGCAGAUAUGCUAACAUUGGAAUAAUACAGAGAUUAUUAGCAUGGUCCCUGGGAAAGGAUGACACUCAAAUUCGUGAAGUGUUCCAUAUUUUU